CAGGCUUAACACAUGCAAGUCGAGGGGCAGCAUGGUCUUAGCUUGCUAAGACUGAUGGCGACCGGCGCACGGGUGAGUAACACGUAUCCAACCUGCCGUCUACUCUUGGACAGCCUUCUGAAAGGAAGAUUAAUACAAGAUGGCAUCAUGAGUCCGCAUGUUCACAUGAUUAAAGGUAUUCCGGUAGACGAUGGGGAUGCGUUCCAUUAGAUAGUAGGCGGGGUAACGGCCCACCUAGUCUUCGAUGGAUAGGGGUUCUGAGAGGAAGGUCCCCCACAUUGGAACUGAGACACGGUCCAAACUCCUACGGGAGGCAGCAGUGAGGAAUAUUGGUCAAUGGGCGAGAGCCUGAACCAGCCAAGUAGCGUGAAGGAUGACUGCCCUAUGGGUUGUAAACUUCUUUUAUAAAGGAAUAAAGUCGGGUAUGCAUACCCGUUUGCAUGUACUUUAUGAAUAAGGAUCGGCUAACUCCGUGCCAGCAGCCGCGGUAAUACGGAGGAUCCGAGCGUUAUCCGGAUUUAUUGGGUUUAAAGGGAGCGUAGAUGGAUGUUUAAGUCAGUUGUGAAAGUUUGCGGCUCAACCGUAAAAUUGCAGUUGAUACUGGAUAUCUUGAGUGCAGUUGAGGCAGGCGGAAUUCGUGGUGUAGCGGUGAAAUGCUUAGAUAUCACGAAGAACUCCGAUUGCGAAGGCAGCCUGCUAAGCUGCAACUGACAUUGAGGCUCGAAAGUGUGGGUAUCAAACAGGAUUAGAUACCCUGGUAGUCCACACGGUAAACGAUGAAUACUCGCUGUUUGCGAUAUACUGCAAGCGGCCAAGCGAAAGCGUUAAGUAUUCCACCUGGGGAGUACGCCGGCAACGGUGAAACUCAAAGGAAUUGACGGGGGCCCGCACAAGCGGAGGAACAUGUGGUUUAAUUCGAUGAUACGCGAGGAACCUUACCCGGGCUUAAAUUGCAGAUGAAUUACGGUGAAAGCCGUAAGCCGCAAGGCAUCUGUGAAGGUGCUGCAUGGUUGUCGUCAGCUCGUGCCGUGAGGUGUCGGCUUAAGUGCCAUAACGAGCGCAACCCUUGUUGUCAGUUACUAACAGGUUCCGCUGAGGACUCUGACAAGACUGCCAUCGUAAGAUGUGAGGAAGGUGGGGAUGACGUCAAAUCAGCACGGCCCUUACGUCCGGGGCUACACACGUGUUACAAUGGGGGGUACAGAGGGCCGCUACCACGCGAGUGGAUGCCAAUCCCCAAAACCUCUCUCAGUUCGGACUGGAGUCUGCAACCCGACUCCACGAAGCUGGAUUCGCUAGUAAUCGCGCAUCAGCCACGGCGCGGUGAAUACGUUCCCGGGCCUUGUACACACCGCCCGUCAAGCCAUGGGAGCCGGGGGUACCUGAAGUGCGUAACCGCGAGGAGCGCCCUAGGGUAAAACUGGUGACUGG
RNAcentral lists this ribosomal RNA (1431 nucleotides) under uncultured organism. RNAcentral describes it as "16S ribosomal RNA". It matches the Rfam family "Bacterial small subunit ribosomal RNA". The record is from RNAcentral.